UCCGCAGGGGGGAGCGCGACCGCUGCAUCCAAAAAGCAUGGAACAUCGACCUUUUUAUUUUUUUUUUGCUGGAAACACUUGAAAGUUGAAAAUCAUCAAAUUGUUCUUCCACAUGGAAAUCAUAAACAUCAACCCCAUUCCUACCCUGUCACGAAUGUACACACUUCUUAUGCAAGUUCUGCCUUGCUGACUCGAUUCAAGUCGCAUUCCUCUCUCGAUUUGUCUUGAAGUAAUGCAAGCACGAGUUUCAAGCGUCCACAAUGACAAUUCGACAAACGGGUUCGCAUAUUUUCUCGCCAUGCUUUUGGAGGAUGCGCUUCAACUCUCCGAUUUACUUGUGAAGGCACCACUAGAAUCUCAGAACCAACCAUGAACUGCUGAUAACUCAACUGAAGCACAUGUUCAUCACCUGGGUAAUGGAGAAAUAGGUGGCGGCAUACAGGCAGCCCUUUUUGUGCAGCUUCCUGUGCAGAAAGAACUUGAAAAGGACAUGUUAGGUGUUUGCUGAACUGAAUCUACAAAAUCUGGCAUUAAAUUGGUGCAAGGAUUUUUGGAAUCACCUUCACCAGUUGAAUACGGUAAAAUUUCCAGGCUGCGUACACUUUUGCAAAGCGUGCAAAAUGUGACAGUGUUCGUUGGUUUGAGUAGAACUGGCUGUUGCGAGAUGGUUUAUUUCCCUGUUUGCCGAAGAUACAAAAUUUUCAGAAACCGAUUGAUGUACAAGUUGGGUAUUCCAGGAAAAGUAGUCUCAGAGAUUUAAUGCGUUGCCGUCAAACUUUAGCAACGAUUUAUUGAAAUUGAAAGUUCCCUUUCUCGUGGCCCUUAAGAUGGCCCAUAUUAUUCAGAAUAA
Molecule: long non-coding RNA, 850 nt
Organism: Prosopis cineraria
Lineage: Eukaryota; Viridiplantae; Streptophyta; Magnoliopsida; Fabales; Fabaceae
Exons: 2
Source: RefSeq, a predicted model, not a curated record